This 395-nucleotide unclassified non-coding RNA is filed under the name soil metagenome. RNAcentral describes it as "partial contains 5.8S ribosomal RNA, internal transcribed spacer 2, and large subunit ribosomal RNA". The stretch from base 1 to 120 matches the Rfam family "5.8S ribosomal RNA", at positions 35 to 154 of the family's 154-position model. The record is from RNAcentral.
GAUGAAGAACGCAGCGAAAUGCGAUAAGUAAUGUGAAUUGCAGAAUUCAGUGAAUCAUCGAAUCUUUGAACGCACCUUGCGCCUUUUGGUAUUCCGAAAGGCACACCUGUUUGAGCGUCAUGAAUACCUCAAUCUCCAUCUUUUCUUCGGAUUGAUGGGUGACUUGGAUGUUGAGCCCUGCUGGUAUGCUAUAUCAGCCGGCUUUAAACUUAUUAGCCGGCUCUGUACUGGAUCGGUUUGACUCGACGUGAUAAUAUUAUCGUUGAGGAUGCAUGUCUCAUGCAGCCGGAAAGUAUCAAAGCAGCUUCUAGCUUGCCUUUAGUGCACUUUUACAUUUUAGACCUCAGAUCAGGUGGGACUACCCGCUGAACUUAAGCAUAUCAAUAAGCGGAGGA